AGAACGAACGCUGGCGGCAUGCCUAACACAUGCAAGUCGAACGAGCCCUUCGGGGCUAGUGGCGCACGGGUGCGUAACGCGUGGGAAUCUGCCCUUAGGUUCGGAAUAACAGUUAGAAAUGACUGCUAAUACCGGAUAAUGACUUCGGUCCAAAGAUUUAUCGCCUAGGGAUGAGCCCGCGUAGGAUUAGCUUGUUGGUGAGGUAAGAGCUCACCAAGGCGACGAUCCUUAGCUGGUCUGAGAGGAUGAUCAGCCACACUGGGACUGAGACACGGCCCAGACUCCUACGGGAGGCAGCAGUGGGGAAUAUUGGACAAUGGGCGAAAGCCUGAUCCAGCAAUGCCGCGUGAGUGAUGAGGGCCCUAGGGUUGUAAAGCUCUUUUGCCUAGGGAUGAUAAUGACAGUACCUGGAGAAUAAGCUCCGGCUAACUCCGUGCCAGCAGCCGC
Molecule: ribosomal RNA, 447 nt
Filed under: uncultured bacterium
Lineage: Bacteria
Description: SSU rRNA
Rfam family: Bacterial small subunit ribosomal RNA
Source: RNAcentral